This is a long non-coding RNA of Quercus robur (English oak), 1236 nucleotides long. RefSeq lists it as uncharacterized. NCBI's taxonomy places the organism in Eukaryota, Viridiplantae, Streptophyta, Magnoliopsida, Fagales, Fagaceae. The transcript is spliced from 5 exons. The record is from RefSeq and is a predicted model, not a curated record.
CGAAACACAAAAAAUACCCUAACUCCACAAAACACUCUCAGACCACUCUCACCGAUCCAACACACUCCCCUCACCGAUCUCAGACCACUCUCACCGAUCUCAAGCUACCUCACUUCCACCCUAUCCGAAUCCCCUUCCUCCCUCCGCUCUUCCUCCUCUCCGUUCCCUUCUCAUCGAUCGGUAGCACACACACACUCUCUCUCUCGAACUCUCAAUCUCACUCCAAACACUCUUGCAAGGCCGACUAACAAUAGAGAAAGCAAAGUAAUAAACCUUGCGAUACAUAGAUGGGAAGGAGACAACAUUGAGAGAACUACGACUGAUAAGUUUUUCUAUAUGCUAUUCAAUUUGGUUGGAUUGAUUUUUAUUUAGGUAUUUGGGUAACAAUAGGUUUUCAUUUGAUUUUUUGAAAUUUGGGAAUGGCGAAGGAGAGAGUUCUUCGUUCCCAUUUAUUUUUUCAAUUUCUUGAGUUUUGUUUUGUCAAUUACUGUUUUUUUGGUUAGAAUUUUAUUCCUGUUUGGCAGUUUUUUUUCUUCGUUUGCCACUGAAAUUAAUUUCUGGAUUGUUUUUUUCUUUUUCUUCUGUUUCUUCCUCCAGUUGCAGAAUAUCGUUUCCCUAUGCCAGAUAAUGACAUUGGGACUUCUGCAAUAAGAGAAUUAAAAGGUCUGUGCGGGUCUGUCAGAUUUGUGGGGAAGUAUUUCAUAAUUUUAGGGACCCAAUCACUCAAAGGAUAAAGUUGGUAAGUUCUGUCUUCUGUGAAACUGGGCAAAGCUAAAAAAACUGUGAUGAAUCAUGUUAAAGUUGUAAGGAAAUUUGGUGAUGUUGAUCUCAAAGAUUUGAAAUUAUAGGCAGAGGCACGAAAUUCACUAAAACUUCCGGUCACUGUGCAAGAAAAUCCAGACGCCUCUCAAAAGCCAUUCACCUUCAUUUUCUAUCAUUUUGUCUUGGUACCCACCCAAAUCCCAAGCCUCUCCUUAGUUGUGUUUACUAUCUUUCUUAAUUUGAUGCGUACUUGCAUCUUUGUAAGUCUUUUUUUUUAAUUGUUUUUUUCUUUUAAUUAUAUAAAUUAAGAUUUGUAUCAUAGGACCGUAUUUGAGACAUAUGUAGCCGUAUUAUACAAAUUUUUAAAAGACAUUUGUAAAACAAACACAGUUGGGACAUACCCAACGUGCAGUAUUGUAUUGGAAAGAGAAGUGGUAUUAUAUUUGAAUGGGUGAAUAUCUCACUCUUGAUAUU